UACGUAGGGGGCAAGCGUUGUCCGGAUUCAUUGGGCGUAAAGAGCGUGUAGGCGGCCAGGUAGGUCGGUUGUGAAAACUGGAGGCUCAACCUUCAGAGGUCGACCGAAACCAUCUGGCUAGAGUCCGGGAGAGGAGAGUGGAAUUCCUGAUGUAGCAGUGAAAUGCGCAGAUAUCAGGAAGAACACCCGUGGCGAAAGCGGCUCUCUGGAACGGUACUGACGCUGAGACGCGAAAGCGUGGGGAGCGAACAGG
RNAcentral lists this ribosomal RNA (253 nucleotides) under uncultured bacterium. RNAcentral's name for it is "partial 16S ribosomal RNA". It matches the Rfam family "Bacterial small subunit ribosomal RNA", at positions 524 to 776 of the family's 1533-position model. The record is from RNAcentral.